UACGUAGGUGGCAAGCGUUGUCCGGAUUUAUUGGGUUUAAAGGGUGCGUAGGCGGGCAGGUAAGUCAGUGGUGAAAUCUCCGAGCUUAACUCGGAAACUGCCUUUGAUACUAUCUGUCUUGAAUAUGGUGGAGGUAAGCGGAAUAUGUCAUGUAGCGGUGAAAUGCUUAGAGAUGACAUAGAACACCUAUUGCGAAGGCAGCUUACUACGCCUAUAUUGACGCUGAGGCACGAAAGCGUGGGGAUCAAACAGG
This 253-nucleotide ribosomal RNA is filed under the name uncultured bacterium. RNAcentral's name for it is "partial 16S ribosomal RNA". It matches the Rfam family "Bacterial small subunit ribosomal RNA", at positions 524 to 776 of the family's 1533-position model. The record is from RNAcentral.